This 527-nucleotide ribosomal RNA is filed under the name Orbulina universa. Its description in RNAcentral is "bacterial SSU rRNA". The stretch from base 1 to 345 matches the Rfam family "Eukaryotic small subunit ribosomal RNA", at positions 1279 to 1501 of the family's 1831-position model. The record is from RNAcentral. Lineage: Eukaryota; Foraminifera; Rotaliida; Globigerinidae.
UGUGCAUGGGCCGUUCUUAGUUCGUGGAGUGAUCUGUCUGCUUAAUUGCGUUUGGAUACAACAAUUUUGGAAUCGCGGCAAUGUUCAGCUUAAUGGCGUCGAUAAAAUUAACAUUAUGUUGACAAUUAGUCCAACUCGGUCCAGCUCGAUUCUUUCCAAUGCAACGAGCGUGAUCGCGACCCCUUGUUGAGCUUAUUACACAUAAGCUCUAUGUCGACGGAACGCUUUUGCGUUACGGAGACAAACUCGGGGGACAGCUUCAAUCAAUUUUCUCAAACGAGAGGAAGGUUGCGGCAAUAACAGGUCUGUGAUGCCCUCAGAUGUCCUGGGCCGCACACGUGCUACAUUGAUCAGCGCAGUGCGUCUUUUUUCCAAUGAAACAUCGGUCUGGCCGUUUUUAACAGUCCUGUACGGUUUUGCAAUGGCUACUGAUAGUGUCUGGUGUUCAACACACUGGGCAAUCUCUUGAAAAUACUGAUAGAAUACCCAACUCGAGCAAAUCUACUACACGCUGGAGGCACAACGGU